GCCCAUGUAGCUCAGCUGGAUAGAGCAACCGCCUCCUAAGCGGUAGGUCGCAGGUUCGAAUCCUGCCUUGGGCG
Molecule: transfer RNA, 74 nt
Filed under: Guyparkeria sp. XI15
Lineage: Bacteria; Pseudomonadati; Pseudomonadota; Gammaproteobacteria; Chromatiales; Thioalkalibacteraceae
Description: Halothiobacillus sp. XI15 tRNA
Rfam family: tRNA
About the family: Transfer RNA (tRNA) molecules are approximately 80 nucleotides in length.
Source: Rfam by way of RNAcentral